GCAAGUCGAGCGGAGAGAAGAAGCUUGCUUCUUCUCUUAGCGGCGGACGGGUGAGUAACACGUGGGCAACCUACCUUGUAGAUUGGGAUACCUCCGGGAAACCGGGGCUAAUACCGAAUAAUCCAUUUUGCUUCAUGGCGAGAUGUUAAAAGACGGUUUCGGCUGUCACUACUAGAUGGGACCGCGGCGUAUUAGCUAGUUGGGAGGGUAACGGCCUACCAAGGCGACGAUACUUAGCCGACCUGAGAGGGUGAUCGGCCACACUGGGACUGAGACACGGCCCAGACUCCUACGGGAGGCAACAGUAGGGAAUCUUCCACAAUGGACUAAAGUCUGAUGGAGCGACGCCGCGUGAGUGAAGAAGGUUUUCGGAUCGUAAAACUCUGUUGUGAGGGAAGAACACGUACUAUAGUAACUGCUCGUACCUUGACGGAACCUUAUUAGAAAGCCACGGCUAACUACGUGCCAGCAGCCGCGGUAAUACGUACGUGGCAAGCGUUGUCCGGAAUUAUUGGGCGUAAAGCGCGCGCAUGCGGUUCUUUAAGUCCUAUGUGAAAGCCCACGGCUCAACCGUGGAGGGUCAUUGGAAACUGGGGAACUUGAGUACUGAAGAGGAAAGCGGAAUUCCACG
This 631-nucleotide ribosomal RNA is filed under the name Paenisporosarcina antarctica. Its description in RNAcentral is "bacterial SSU rRNA". It matches the Rfam family "Bacterial small subunit ribosomal RNA", at positions 57 to 673 of the family's 1533-position model. The record is from RNAcentral. Lineage: Bacteria; Bacillati; Bacillota; Bacilli; Caryophanales; Caryophanaceae.